CCAGAGAACUUAGGCAGAGAUGCUUUGGUGCCUUCGGGAACUCUGAGACAGGUGCUGCAUGGCUGUCGUCAGCUCGUGUUGUGAAAUGUUGGGUUAAGUCCCGCAACGAGCGCAACCCUUAUCCUUUGUGCCAGCGGCUCGGCCGGGAACUCAAAGGAGACUGCCGGUGAUAAACCGGAGGAAGGUGGGGAUGACGUCAAGUCAUCAUGGCCCUUACGGCCAGGGCUACACACGUGCUACAAUGGCGCAUACAAAGAGAAGCGACCUCGCGAGAGCAAGCGGACCUCACAAAGUGCGUCGUAGUCCGGAUUGGAGUCUGCAACUCGACUCCAUGAAGUCGGAAUCGCUAGUAAUCGUAGAUCAGAAUGCUACGGUGAAUACGUUCCCGGGCCUUGUACACACCGCCCGUCACACCAUGGGAGUGGGUUGCAAAAGAAGUAGGUAGCUUAACCUUCGGGAGGGCGCUUACCACUUUGUGAUUCAUGACUGGGGUGAAGUCGUAACAAGGUAAGCGUAGCGAG
RNAcentral lists this ribosomal RNA (521 nucleotides) under uncultured bacterium. RNAcentral's name for it is "bacterial SSU rRNA". It matches the Rfam family "Bacterial small subunit ribosomal RNA", at positions 988 to 1509 of the family's 1533-position model. The record is from RNAcentral.